This 857-nucleotide ribosomal RNA is filed under the name uncultured bacterium. Its description in RNAcentral is "bacterial SSU rRNA". It matches the Rfam family "Bacterial small subunit ribosomal RNA", at positions 14 to 916 of the family's 1533-position model. The record is from RNAcentral.
UGAUUAUGGCUCAGAGCGAACGCUGGCGGCAGGCUUAACACAUGCAAGUCGAACGGGCGUAGCAAUACGUCAGUGGCAGACGGGUGAGUAACGCGUGGGAACGUACCUUUUGGUUCGGAACAACACAGGGAAACUUGUGCUAAUACCGGAUAAGCCCUUACGGGGAAAGAUUUAUCGCCGAAAGAUCGGCCCGCGUCUGAUUAGCUUGUUGGUGAGGUAAUGGCUCACCAAGGCGACGAUCAGUAGCUGGUCUGAGAGGAUGAUCAGCCACAUUGGGACUGAGACACGGCCCAAACUCCUACGGGAGGCAGCAGUGGGGAAUAUUGGACAAUGGGCGCAAGCCUGAUCCAGCCAUGCCGCGUGAGUGAUGAAGGCCCUAGGGUUGUAAAGCUCUUUUGUGCGGGAAGAUAAUGACGGUACCGCAAGAAUAAGCCCCGGCUAACUUCGUGCCAGCAGCCGCGGUAAUACGAAGGGGGCUAGCGUUGCUCGGAAUUACUGGGCGUAAAGGGUGCGUAGGCGGGUCUUUAAGUCAGAGGUGAAAUCCUGGAGCUCAACUCCAGAACUGCCUUUGAUACUGAGGAUCUUGAGUUCGGGAGAGGUGAGUGGAACUGCGAGUGUAGAGGUGAAAUUCGUAGAUAUUCGCAAGAACACCAGUGGCGAAGGCGGCUCACUGGCCCGAUACUGACGCUGAGGCACGAAAGCGUGGGGAGCAAACAGGAUUAGAUACCCUGGUAGUCCACGCCGUAAACGAUGAAUGCCAGCCGUUAGUGGGUUUACUCACUAGUGGCGCAGCUAACGCUUUAAGCAUUCCGCCUGGGGAGUACGGUCGCAAGAUUAAAACUCAAAUGAAUUGACGG